UUUUUUUUUUUUUUUUUUUCUGCACGCAUGACAUAUAGAAGUUCCUAGGCCAGGGACUGAACCCAUGCCACAGCAGUGACAAUGCUGGAUUCUUAACUACCAGGCCACCAGGGAACUUCCCCAAGUCACUAUUGCACAUAGACUUCUUCAUGCUGCCCAGUCUACACCCACUGUCUCACUGCCUUGAGUCAAGAACUCUCUCAGGCCGACUGACCAACCAUGGAAAAUGCUGCACCCAGACCCCUGGUCCUAGCUGGGCCCCCCCGACCUGGGGCCAGGGGUGCUGGCUGCCAUAGCUCACAGCCCCCGCUUCUCCAACAGCAGACCUUGGCCAUUGGAGGAAUGGCUGCCCUGUUUCUCCAAGGUGGGCUUAUUCCAUGGUGCUACUGACUCUCAGAACUCCUCCAGGGAUCGGGCCGACCCAAGCUCUCUGUCCUUAAGUCACAACACGUGGAUCCUUGUCUCCAGAACCAGCCUGAGAUGCCACCCCUUGGAAUCAACUGGGGCGACAGUUCUUUAAACACAUUUGCUGGGAAUCUACUGAAAUCCUAACUCUGGGAGUGCGCAGUUUCAGCAAGGAGAAUCUGAAAGAGCAACAGAUAUGUAGCCAAGAUUGGAGAAAAGGAUCCCUGUGCGGGGAGUGGGGGUGGUCCUAUAACACCCAUUUUACAGAUGAGAAAACCAAGGCUCAGCUUAAAACCAUAGAAGUAGAUUUGAACCCUGCUCUCUCAGACCCCAAAGCCUUGACUCUUGGCUCUGUUCCUGCUGCUCAGCUGUGAGGAGCUUUACAGGCCUGGCCGGCAUCAGAACAAGGGGGUUUUCAGGGAUGGCUCCACAUAGAACAUUCUUCCAGGCUUCACCUGCCUUGUGCACAAACGGCCUGGUAGGCUCCAAAAUAGAACUGCUAAUGUGGUCAGGAAGCCUGGUCCCUGGGGGGCACGGCUCUUCAGCCAGCCGGCGCUAGGGCACACUGUGGCGCCUGGGUCCCACCAGGGCCAGCCCGGCAUGAAGAAAAUAUGGGAAGCAGCCCUCCGACAGGCCUCCGGGGACUUCCUGUCCACCUGUGAGGAGGGGAACAACAGGAAGCCUGCCGCAAGGCCCGGGGCUGGGAGGCGGCUGAUAGAGAAGGGUGAGGUCCACCCGCCUUCCCCUCUCAGCCCAUUCUCAGGAGUGGACGGACGCCCCCACAAAGGUUGGGGCAGAACAGGAAGCAUUUGCUAGGCAUCUUCUGUAUGCCUGGCCCUGUAUGAGCACCCGAGGAAAGAGGCAAACGAACAAGAUACAGGCUCUAUCUUCCAGAAGUCUACUUUUACGUACUCAUCCACACGUUCAGUGCAAGAGACAUUUACUGAGCACCUACUGUGUGCAAGUUCCAUUCUAGGAACUGGGGGAACAAAUAAGACACGUCCCAACCCUCAAGAAGUUUCACUUUUCAGUCAUCCAUUCAGUCAUCCAUUCAGUCAUUCAUUCCUUCACUCGGCUCAGCAUUGAAUGAGCACCUACUGUAGGCCAAGACUCUGUGCUGGGAACUGGAGAGACAGAGGUGCACAAGGCUCUGAUGAUGGGAAGUUUCACUGAGUCAUUCCUUCAUUCCCUCUUUCUUUCAUUCAGCUUCGCAGGCAAUACUGAGCACUGCUGUAUGCCUGGCUGUGGACAGAGAUGUGAAAGAAGACACAUCCUCCUGGAGAGGUUGCUGGAUCGCUCAUUCAUCGUCUGCCCACAGAAUGAAUGGGCCGCAAGCACUUAGUCACGUGAUAAGGAUAAAACAGUAAGGCCCAGUCGCUGCUUGUGGUCUCACUCGCCCAGUUCUUCCUUCUUCCUUCCUUUGGCACAAUGAACAUGUAUUGAGUGCCUACUGUGUACCAAGGGUGCAGAGAUGCACAGGAGAGAAUUUCCAUCCUUCAAGAGCCAACUGUCAUCCUUCACUCACUGUUUUGGGGUUCGAGUCUCCAAACAUAUAUUGGGUACCUAUUAUAUGUCAGGCCCUUGGGAGGCAGAUGAAGGAGCCCUGGGCGGGCCUGGCCCCAGAGGCACAGCAAAGCUGGUGCGCGCACAGGGCUGAGGGAUGCCUCAGCUCCUUCAUCAGAACCGUGAGGCCCCUGCUGCUGGUUCCUCAAAAGUGAGGCACCCUCCCCAUGAUCUGCAGAGUGGGGGCGAUGGGGGGGAAAUCGGCACCCAGGGGAGAGAAACCACUUGACACAAACACCAAAGGGGAGAAGUGGUGAGUGAGAAGGAGAUGAAUCAGACGGCUCAGUGAGAAUUUUCAAGAACUCAAGGAAUAUUCUAAGUUUAGAGGAGUAAUCAGCCCACAGCUUCCGACCGUGGCAUUUUCAACACCAGCCGAAUGGCAGCCUGUUCAUUUCCCUGGGAUCCUCCACCCUCUCAGGCCAAAAGCUUGUCAGGAAAACAUCCGGCUGUGCAUCUAGUGCUCCCUGGAGCUAUGGGGAGGUUUAUGUAGGUUCGUUCACCCACGGGAAGCCCUUGGCACAGGGCCUGGCCCAUUGUAAGUGCUCAGUAAAUGUCACCUUGUAAUUUUACUUUUACUUCUGGCCGUGGCAGCUUUGAAACAUGGAUUCUUUGACACUCCUCUCAUUGAGAGGUGGGGUCCAUGUCCUCUCCCUCUGAAUCUCGGGGGGCCUGUGAUGCUUCCAUCAACAGAGAAUAGCAGCAGAUGCCUGAUGCUGCAUCCAUCAUAAAGGGUGAUGCAGAAUCUGUCCUCUUAGCACUGGGAGCCCUGAGCCACCACGCUGUGAGGAAGCCCAAGCUACAGCAGGUGCCUGGACAGCAGCCCCAGAAAGCUGGGCCUCCAGGUUGUCAGAGGCACCAGACAAGUGUGUGAAGAAGCCUCCAGCCCCAGCUGCUUAGGGCUCCCAGCUGACACCCCACAUAUCACGGAGCAGCUGUCCCCACAGAGCCCUGCCCAGUUUCCUGACCCAGCAAAUAUUAUGAGUCCAGUAAAUAGGGGUUGACUUGUACCCCUAUGCUUUGAGGUGCUUCCCUGUGACAACUGUUACCUGCCUCUCCAAGGCUCCACCAACCCAGAAAGCAUGGAAGAACUCCAUGAACUGUAAAAUCCUGUGCUCAGAGGAGCCCCUGGCAUCACCACUGAGGACCCAGGAGGGCUCUGUUGCCUUCUGGACCCCACUUAACUCUGCAGCCCCGUAGCCAAGGCCACCCCCACUGCCCCUGCCAGCCUAGUCUGGGAGACUCUGCAGGCCACUGGGGCUGACCUGCACUCACAUGGCAGGGCGCCGCUUUGUUCCCAAGCUGGGACUUAGGUCACCCAUCUGGGAGGAAUGGACUGGAGGACAAAGGCUGCUUUCACCGGGCCCAGGCUGCUCUCAGCAAACACAGGCGGUUGGGAGCAGAGCAGGGAGCAGGCGGCCCCCGGCACACCCCUCCUGGGAAGAUGGCCAAUGGGCCUGCGAGGGCCCAGGCGAGCUGGGGCAGCACUGGCGUCUGGCAAGGGCCUUCCCUCCCUUUCUGGGUCUUUUCCAAUCACACCUAAAACAAGGACAAGGCAGAGUACAGAGAGGCAAUGAGGAAACAUUGGGUACGUUCAAUAGCUUUUGAGAGGUUAAAAAAAAAAAAAAAAAAGGCCUCCCUAGGAUUCCUGUCAAAUAUAAACAUUAACAAAUAUGGGGUGGCGGAGGGUGGGGGGGCAUUCCAAGGCAGCCUGGAAUCAAACUCCUGCUCCAUCAUGAGCACACCUCAGAAUGAGACUGUAUUUGGAGAGAGGGUCAUUGAAGAGGUAAUUAAGUAAUUAGAAAAGGAGGCCGCUGUCCUUAUCAAGAGGCACUCCAGACACACAGAGAGACACCAGGGGUGCACACAGAGGCACUGCCAUAUGAAGACAAGCAUGAAGGCAGCCCCUCUGAAGUCAAAGAGAGAGGCCUCGUGAGAAACCAAACCUAAUGACGCCUUGAUCUUGGACUUCUGGCCUCCAGAACUGUGGGGAAAUUAAUUUCUGUUGUUUAAGCUGCCUAGUCUAUGGUAUUUUGACAGGGCAGCUCCAGCAAAUACAUGCACUGACCCACAGGAAGAGGUGCAUGAAGAUUUCCUAUGAUUAUAUUAUCACAGUCACAUUGUAACAAUGAAAUAAGGUGUUAACAUGAAUGAGUUGGUAUUAAUACAGGUAGGUUUAAUACAAAAUAUUAAUAUGACAUUAAACAGAAUAUGUCUGCAUUGUCCCUCCCUACCUCAGAAUCUCUACAUAAAACAUCAGAUUUCAUUUAAAAGAAAGCAAAGACCUGGGCAUCUACCCAGAGAAAACCAUGACUCAAAAAGAUACAUGUACUCCAGGGUUCACUGCAGCACUAUAUACAACAGCCAAGACAUGGAAAAAACCUAAAUGUCAAUCAACAGAGGAGUGGAUAAAGAUGUGGUACAUAGACACAAUGGAAUAUUACUAAGCCAUUAAAAGGAAAGAAAUAACGGCACUUGCAGCAACAUGGAUGGACAUAGAAAUUAUCAUGCUAAAUAAGCGAAGUCAAUCAGAUGGCAAGACACCAACAUCAUAUGCUAUCACCUACAUGUGGAAUCUUAAAAAAAAGACACAAGAACUUCUUUGCAGAACAGAUACUGAUUCACAGACUUUGAAAAACUUAUGGUUUCCAAAUGAGACAGGUUGGGGGGUGGGGGGAUGCACUGGGGAUUUGGGAUGGAAAUGCUAUAAAAUUGGGUUGUGAUGAUCAUUGUACAACUAUAAAUGUAAUAAAAUUCAUUAAGUAAUUAAAAAGAAGGAAUAGCCAUCAUCAAAAAGUUUAUUGAAAAAAAAAAAGGAACUAAACUUUGAUUCAAAUCUUCCAUAAAAGAAAGGAUUUUCAAUUUAGGAAGCACAAAUAAAGAGCUGGGUCCCAAAGGGAACUGUAAAAAAAAAAAAAAAAAAAAAAAGAAGAAGAAGAAAGCAAAGCAUUUUCUCCCUUUUUUGGCCAUGCCUGUGGCAUGUGGGACUUCCAAGGCCAGGGACUGAACCCACAACCCAAGCCACAGCAGUGACAAUGCCUGAUCCUUAACCCACUGAGCCACCAGGUAACUCCAGCAAAGAGUUUUCUGAGACUAAUAAUCUGGACCAGAUUCCUAGACAGCUUUCUCCUCUGUGCAUGACUUCACCCUGGAGGAAAUAUUUACAUUGUGUUCUAGCUCCAGACAAAGGUACCUCAAAUCUCCCACUUCUUCCAGAACUUUCAAGCCUCCAUAUUUACUGGUCCCACAACCUGAAUGUCCCUUCCCCCUUGUCCUACUCAGGCUUUAAGACCCAGCUCAGGGCCCAGCCCAGAAAAGGCACUGGAUAUACGUGUACAGCAAGCCAACUCAUGGAUGAAGAUGCUAGGCCCAGAGAGGGGCACACGUCACAAGGUCGAGCAGGACCAGACCCCAGCAUCCUGGCUCUCAAGCCAGUGAUGCUCCCCCUCCAGCCUAGGCUGCCUCCACCUUCCCCCUGCCCAUGCUGCCACAGACAUGAAAACCCUGCCUUCAUUCAGUGAAACUCCCAAGGCCAAGUGCCUUUUCAACACUGAGAAUCUCUUUGCCCACCAGUGACAAAAGUGGGUGGUGGAAUGGGCAUCAGCUGGCGUCAAGCUUUCGUGUCUCCAUUGCUAAAGGACUGAAGCCGGAUUUGCU
RNAcentral lists this long non-coding RNA (5622 nucleotides) under Sus scrofa (pig). RNAcentral describes it as "lncRNA (ENSSSCG00045030857.1)". The record is from RNAcentral. Lineage: Eukaryota; Metazoa; Chordata; Mammalia; Artiodactyla; Suidae.